RNAcentral lists this non-coding RNA (49 nucleotides) under Alexandrium minutum. Lineage: Eukaryota; Dinophyceae; Gonyaulacales; Pyrocystaceae. The record is from RNAcentral.
UUUUUUUUUUUUUUUUUUUUUUUUUUUUUUUUUUUUUUUUUUGAAUUCG